UACAGAGGUCUCAAGCGUUGUUCGGAUUCAUUGGGCGUAAAGGGUGUGUAGGUGGCGCCGUAAGUCGGGUGUGAAAUUUCGGAGCUUAACUCCGAAACUGCAUUCGAUACUGCGGUGCUUGAGGACUGGAGAGGAGACUGGAAUUCAUGGUGUAGCAGUGAAAUGCGUAGAUAUCGUGAGGAAGACCAGUGGCGAAGGCGGAUCUCUGGACAGUUCCUGACGCUGAGGCGCGAAGGCCAGGGGAGCAAACGGG
This 253-nucleotide ribosomal RNA is filed under the name uncultured bacterium. RNAcentral's name for it is "partial 16S ribosomal RNA". It matches the Rfam family "Bacterial small subunit ribosomal RNA", at positions 524 to 776 of the family's 1533-position model. The record is from RNAcentral.